AUGGACGUAGAAGGAGGAGGAGGAGGAGGAGGGUCCCGAGCGGCGAAACGACGGGGAAGGAGGAGGAUCCCGAGCGACGACCGGGGCUUCACGUCGGCGGUGAGGCCCUGCGACGAAGGGCGCGGCAUAGCGGCCGGGAACAGGCCGCAGAGGAACAGGAGGACGGCGCCGGACACCUACCGCGAGCCCAGCUCCGACGAUGAGGAUGGUGAGGAACCUGUGAAUAAUCGAGUUGUUCAGCCACUGAACAAACCCAAGAGAAGUGAUGCGGGGAAAAAGAGGGGGCCCAGAAAUAAGAAAUCAGAUCAAGAUGGCAGCAAGGUCCACUCCCCGGAUGGGCAAAACCAUGGUGGAGACAAUUCGACUAGUGAUGAUGAUGAUUUCAAGCCUGCAAAGAAACGGCGAAGAAGAGAUGAAGCAAAGUGGAAGGGUUCCACCGCAAAAAGGUUGAAGGAAGAGGAAGAAGAAUAUAAGGUCACAUCCUCCAAGAAUAAAGUUUCUCAUGAAAGAUAUAAUAAGAAUGGGAAGAAGAUGUUGACCGGGGAAAAUGCUCGAAUGUGCCACCAGUGCCAGAGAAAUGACAAGAAGAAGGUGGUCUGGUGUAAGUCAUGCAAUAACAAGCGAUACUGUGGGAAAUGCAUCAAGAGAUGGUAUCCCAAUUUGACAGAAGAUGAAUUAGCUGCAAAAUGUCCGUACUGUCGCAAGAACUGUAAUUGCAAGGCAUGCUUACGAAUGAUAGGGGUUGAAGAGCCUCAACAAAAGGAAAUUUCUGAAGAAAAUCAAAUUAGUUAUGCAUGCCAUAUCAUGCGCUUGUUGCUUCCUUGGCUAGGAGAGCUGCAAAAGGAGCAGAUGGAAGAGAAGAAAUUAGAGGCUCGUAUACUAGGAGUUUCGAUGGAUGAAAUGAAGUUGGAACAGAUCAAGUGUGGUCCUGCUGAGCGUAUCUAUUGUAACAGGUGUAGAACUUCUAUAUUCGAUUUUCAUAGAAGCUGCAAGCAUUGUCUCUAUGACCUGUGCCUCAUCUGCUGCCGGGAGCUUCGCAAUGGUGAGAUCCCCGGAGGAGAAGAGGUGGAGAAUGUGCAGUAUGAGAACAGAGGAGAGGACUAUAUUUUCGGCAAUAAUUUUCAUUCAAAUGGUGAGAAUCAAAGGGACUCUUUGAGGAGGAAGAUGGACUCCCCUACUGGUGGUAGCAAAUCUUGCUCUCUGCUACUAUGGAGUGCAAAUAGUGAUGGUGGCAUACCUUGCCCACCAAAGGAAAUGGGGGGCUGUGGUGGUUCUGACUUGGACCUCAAAUGCAUGUUUCCGGAGAAAAUGCAUGCUGACUUACAAGAGAGAGCUGACAAACUUGUGAGGAGUGAAAUAUUUGAAAAAACAACAUUUAGUAGAAGUGACCAGUGUCCUUGUUUUGAUCAUUCGGGCACGGUAAGAACUGACAUAAAGACAGUACGGAAGGCUGCAGAUAGGAAGGGCUCAAGUGAUAACUAUCUAUAUUGUCCAGUUGCCACUGGUCUCGGUGAUGAUGACCUAAUUCACUUCCAGAUGCAUUGGGCAAAGGGUGAGCCAGUUGUUGUCUCUGAUGUUCUUCAAUCAACCUCUGGUGUUAGUUGGGCACCGAUGGUUAUGUGGCGGGCAUUGCGUGAAAGAGCCAAGGGCAAGGCAGAAGAUGAGAAGUUUGAUGUGAGGGUAGUAGAUUGCCUUGAUUGGUGUGAGGGGUCACUUAAAAUCAGCGAUUUCUUUAAGGGAUAUAAAAAUGGCAGAAGUCAUCGCGGGCCUCACUGGCCUGAGAUGCUUAAGUUGAAGGACUGGCCUCCUUCUAGUACGUUUGACAAGAGAUUGCCUCGCCAUUGUGCUGAAUUUAUCAGCGCGUUGCCAUUUCCUGAGUACACCGAUCCAAGAUCUGGUCCACUAAAUCUUUCGGUUAAGCUUCCUGCUGGUGUCAUGAAACCAGAUCUUGGGCCGAAAAGUUACAUUGCUUAUGGAUUUUCCGAAGAGUUAGGCCGGGGUGACUCAGUGACCAAGCUUCAUUGUGACGUUUCUGAUGCGGUAAAUAUCCAAACACACACUGACGAAGUGCCAUGUGAGACAUAUGAUCUUUGUCGGAUUAAAAAAGUCCAGGAAAACAUGAGAAAGCAAGAUCUUCAGGAACUGCGUGGGGAUUUGAAUUCAUGCACUGAGCUUAGGGCACAGCCCUCUGUUGAUGGAUCUUACGAAGCCGCGAUGACUUCAUGUAGUAUGGAAAGUUAUAAAAAUAGUUCUAAUGGUUUGCACAUAAAUGCUCCACGUCGCGAUGCUACAGAUGACGUUAAUGAUAAAGUGUCACCUCAUAAAUCUGUUACCAAAUCCGAUGAGAUCCGCAACGGAACUCGUUUGUACUAUCAACGUCGCGCUAACAGAAAGGUGCAUCAAGAUAAAGCCAGUGAUCCUCCUAUUCCUGGUAAAUCUGAUGAGAUUGGCAAAGGAAUUCGUAGAAAGGUGCAUCGAAAUAAAGCUAUUGAUCCUCCCAAGCCAGUUCCUGAGAAGACAGAGAAAGAUAAAACUGGUGGUGCUUUGUGGGAUAUAUUCCGAAGAGAGGAUUCAGAGAAAUUACAAAAAUAUCUACGGAACCAUGCCUCGGAGUUUCGCCACAUCCACUGCAAUCCUGUGAAUCAGGUUAUCCACCCAAUUCAUGAUCAGACAUUCUAUCUGACAGAAAAACAUAAGAAGAAGCUCAAGAAAGAAUAUGGUGUUGAGCCAUGGACAUUUGAGCAGAAGCUUGGGGACGCAGUUCUCAUUCCUGCCGGGUGUCCUCACCAAGUCAGGAAUUUGAAGUCUUGCACCAAGGUUGCGAUGGACUUUGUUUCCCCCGAAAAUGUGGGUGAGUGUGUUAAGCUGACGGACGAGUUCAGGGCACUUCCAUCUUCCCACAAGGCUAAAGAAGAUAAGCUUGAGAUCAAGAAGAUGGCUUUGUAUGCGUUUCUCGAUGUUCUCGAAUUCUUGGGACGUCACGUGGAAGGGUCAAAGAGCGGGGAUGCGCAGCCCAACCAGUCCAGCGAUGGUACUGCAGAGGAAAAGCCUAAAAGAAGGGGUACCCGCGCAAGAGGUGGCUCAGGGUCUCGGAGGUGA
Molecule: ribosomal RNA, 3099 nt
Filed under: Triticum aestivum (bread wheat)
Lineage: Eukaryota; Viridiplantae; Streptophyta; Magnoliopsida; Poales; Poaceae
Description: partial small subunit ribosomal RNA
Source: RNAcentral